GUUCAGCCUAUUAUUGAUUUUUUUUUUUUUUACUUCCACUUCACAUUUAUCCAAAGAAACUGAACUAUUUGCACUGCAUUUACCAAUGCUGCAUUCAAUAUCUAUACAAUGCUAUAGCCUAGAAAUAAUCUGUCAGCAUAUAGGCUAGUGGGCUAGUAAUAAAAAAAUAAAAGAUUGCAAUAAAAAAAAAGUCUGCUUUUUUGCGGGUCUAAACUUUUGUUUGCGAGUUGAAAAGUUUUGCUUGCAAGUGAAGCUGUCUCUCAGUGGGCGGUCUCUACACCAGGAUGAAAGACCUUUUUCUAUUGGUCACUCUCGAUUGAAGUCACUAGUAGACCACGCCCACUAUGUUUCCCGGAAUCCCCUUCGCUGCCGCCGCAGUCUGCAUUUUAGAAGAGCGAGGAAGGUUGUAUCAUGACGAGCAACAGCUCGUGUACUGGGAAGAUGAUUUGGUGUUGAUAGAGGAGGCAACAUCUUCAAGACAAAACCUUAGACCUGAUGCAACACCAUCCAAUGUUGCAGUCACCCUCAGGAGGCUCUUGUAGCCCAGUGCCCAAUAUGCACAGGAACAUUUCCAGUGUCAGAAGUAGACCGGCCAUGCCAGCUUUUGAUGAGACAGGUAAUGGUGGAAAUUCUGAAAGAAUUAAAAGCUUGUACUGAAGGCGGAGCAAUUGGACCAAUCAGAUGAAAGGGGCAUUUCAGCGCUGCCCAUCUGUGCGAAUGAAACAUUGCAACUAUAAACCGAUUUUUAAACCACAAACGAAACAUGAGAUAUCGAGCUGAAAUCUCAUAUGUAUCCAUGUAUCAUUCAUUAAUUCGUUUUUUGAUACAAUAUUGAAAGUAGAAAAAUGAGAAAACGGCUCCUUUUCUUUUUGAAACUUGCUAAUUAGCACAUUAUUAGGAAAGGCGAUUUGCAAAGAUUAAUUCAAAAAAGUUAUACUCACUUUUUCUCUAGGUGAAGCUGAACCACAAAUGAUUCCCGCGAAGAUAGACGCAUUUAGGUAGAUCAGGGACGCAUUCCCUAAAAAAAAAAAAUUAAUCCACUUCAGCGGCUCAGAUGUCAGGAGUAAAUGAUGACUGCUAUGUUAUUAUUACAUUCAACAACAUAACACCUCAAUCGCUUAGGAUUCAUUCUUGUCUACAUCUGCUCCAGUGUCGAAACAUUGGCGGACUGAUGACAGCUCACUCAGGGCGGGUCUAAGGUAAGACAGCAGUCCAGUCUGUGCUGAAAUGCUACUGUCAAUGAAACUAUCGUGGGAGGGGCCUGUCUCUGUGACGUCACAAAGACAGGCAUCUGAGUUCGGCUCGAUUUGAGAAAGGGUUAAAGAUCUUAGUAGAUAAAAAAAAACACUGGGUGGAUUUUUAUCAUUAUAGGGUGGUUGUGUACACACACUGCCAACACACAUUUCAGUUCAAACAACUUGUAAAAGUGCAUGUACCAUACGAGGACCUCUUUAAAGUGAUAGGGGCCUA
Long non-coding RNA from Cyprinus carpio (common carp), 1470 nucleotides. The record is from Ensembl. Lineage: Eukaryota; Metazoa; Chordata; Actinopteri; Cypriniformes; Cyprinidae.